Molecule: ribosomal RNA, 182 nt
Filed under: uncultured bacterium
Lineage: Bacteria
Description: partial 16S ribosomal RNA
Rfam family: Bacterial small subunit ribosomal RNA
Source: RNAcentral
ACGGGGGGACUCCUACGGGAGGCAGCAGUGGGGAAUUUUCCGCAAUGGGCGAAAGCCUGACGGAGCAACGCCGCGUGAGGGAUGAAGGCCUCUGGGCUGUAAACCUCUUUUCUCAAGGAAGAAGAUCUGACGGUACUUGAGGAAUAAGCCACGGCUAAUUCCGUGCCAGCAGCCGCGGUAAU